UACCCGCAGCUCAAGUGGUGGCCACUAUUAUUGAGCCUAAAGCGUCCGUAGCCGGUCUUGUAAAUCUCUGGGUAAAUCCUGCCGCUUAACGGUGGGAAUGCUGGAGAGACUGCAAGACUGGGGAUCGGGUGAAGCGAGAGGUACUCCUGGGGUAGGGGUAAAAUCCUGUAAUCCUGGGGGGACGACCGGUGGCGAAAGCGUCUCGCUAGAACGACUCCGACGGUGAGGGACGAAGGCUAGGGGAGCAAACCGG
RNAcentral lists this ribosomal RNA (253 nucleotides) under uncultured Thermogymnomonas sp. RNAcentral's name for it is "partial 16S ribosomal RNA". It matches the Rfam family "Archaeal small subunit ribosomal RNA", at positions 474 to 727 of the family's 1478-position model. Lineage: Archaea; Methanobacteriati; Thermoplasmatota; Thermoplasmata; Thermoplasmatales. The record is from RNAcentral.